AUUUGGGAAGAAUUGAAAAAACAAACAAAGCAGCGGCAGUUGUAACUAAAAAUUCUUUGUAAAAGCGUUGUUGGAUAAUACAAUUGUCACUUAUGUAAAGUUUUACGACGAACGGUGAACAGCAUUAAAAUAAAAGUGCUACUCCCGCGAAAUUUGACCCCUCUUUUUGUGCUAAUCUAAUAGAAGUCGCGAAGCUGAAAACGAAUCUUAAAAUAAAAUUUCAUUUAACUUUUUCAAACCGAUUUUACAGCUCUCCAAAGUUGCGAUUUUUGGCACUUCCUGUUCGAAUUUAUACAUGACUUGUGACGUCAUAAGAUGUGCACAUACUUAUCAUGACGUAUAAUUUUAAUAGCGAAAAAAGCGUUUGUGGAGGUAAACAUUGUGUUGUUUGUGGUCCUAACUUAGUUAACUUCAACAUGAAUUCUCAUGCAGAAGGAAUAUAUAUGCAUGAGUUUCCUAAAGAGGAAACAGAUGCUCAAAGACGAAGAAAAUAGAUUAUACUUGUUCGCAAACAUAGACCACAAUGGUCGCCUACUUCAAAUUCGUUUCUCUGUUCGGCGCAUUGGAAGUUUCUUGCUUUGAUGUAAACCGAUCUCUUGCUAAGUCACUCGAUAUCAAAAGAAGACUUAAAAGCAAUGCUGUUCCCACUGCUAACAUGGCGGGAAGUGUUCCUAUGAGUGAGCAACAGAUAACGAAUCGCCAACGGAGACAAGUACAAAGUAACAUGUUAAUUGGCUAUGCUUUGGAACAUUCACGUGCCCUUUCUCACACUUAAAUAUAUUUAUAUUUUAGUGGACCCACAAGUCAUCGUCAUCUAUAAAAUCGCCCUGUACUCCUGGAAAAAUUGACGAACAAGAGCAAAAAAACAAUGGAAGAUAUGACUGUUACAGACUUCAGGCUUGUUGGACUGUGAGCCUUUGCAGGCUAUGGCUGUCAAAAAACAAAGCCGAAGCGAGAAAAAAAAAACAAGAAAAAAGCUGUUCUGCCAAUUGUACAUCAUGCGCCAUUUCAAAAAAAAACCCAGCUCUCUCCAAAAAACUGUCAGCCAACUGAAGAAAACUAAGGCAACAUUGCUGAGGCAAAUUCAAAAUCUUUAGGCCCAGCAGAAGGCACUUUUAGAUGCUCCAUCUGCAGGUAGAAUGGACAAAGAAUUGUAGGUGAUUGUAUGGUAGAAGAGAUCGAAGAUGAUUUAGUUGAAUCUUUAUCAAACGACUACUCGUCUUUGAAGAAUCAAGUCAGGAUAAUUGAUUUGGAUGAGGAUAUCAUGACAAAUUCUAUUAGAACGUAAAUGGUGGUUUCAGGAUUACUCUGAUUGUGGCUAUUUGAUUGACAAGAGUCCCAAGCUGGAAUUGCUAGAGAGAAGCAAAUGGACAACAUUCACAAAGAAGAGCUAAAUGUAUUUUGUACAAAGGUUUAGUUUGUUGUUGGAUGAGUUGUACUUUUCAGAAAUACAAGUAACGCGUUAUUUAUCAAUACAGAGUGUCUGUUUAAUAAAACAAUAUUUUCUUAUUACAAAAUCUCUUUAACUAUUUACAAGAUAAAAAUUGCUGUUGAGGGUUAAUUGAAUAAAGUUGACAGCCCACCAUUUUA
Xenia sp. Carnegie-2017 is the source of this 1590-nucleotide long non-coding RNA. RefSeq lists it as uncharacterized. The transcript is spliced from 3 exons. The record is from RefSeq and is a predicted model, not a curated record. NCBI's taxonomy places the organism in Eukaryota, Metazoa, Cnidaria, Anthozoa, Malacalcyonacea, Xeniidae.